This 756-nucleotide ribosomal RNA is filed under the name uncultured bacterium. RNAcentral's name for it is "bacterial SSU rRNA". It matches the Rfam family "Bacterial small subunit ribosomal RNA", at positions 8 to 796 of the family's 1533-position model. The record is from RNAcentral.
AGAGUUUGAUCAUGGCUCAGAAUCAACGCUGGCGGCGCGCCUAACACAUGCAAGUCGAACGAGAAAGUGGAGCAAUCCAUGAGUAAAGUGGCGUACGGGUGAGUAACACGUGGAUCAUCUACCCUCUUGUGGGGAAUACCGAUGGGAAACCGUCGACAAUACCGCAUAAGCUCGAGAGAGGAAAGCCGAAAGGCGCAGGAGGAGGAGUCCGCGGUCGAUUAGUUAGUUGGCAGGGUAAAAGCCUACCAAGACUGUGAUCGAUAGCCGGCCUGAGAGGGCACACGGCCACACUGGCACUGAAACACGGGCCAGACUCCUACGGGAGGCAGCAGUGGGGAAUCUUGCACAAUGGAGGAAACUCUGAUGCAGCGACGCCGCGUGAGCGAUGAAGCCCUUCGGGGUGUAAAGCUCUUUCGUCAGGGAAGAUAAUGACGGUACCUGGAGAAGCAGCUGCGGCUAACUACGUGCCAGCAGCCGCGGUAAUACGUAGGCAGCAAGCGUUGUUCGGAGUUACUGGGCGUAAAGGGUGCGUAGGCGGCUUUUUAAGUUUGGUGUGAAAUCUCCCGGCUCAACUGGGAGGGUGCGCCGAAUACUGAGAGGCUAGAGUGCGGGAGAGGAAAGUGGAAUUCCUGGUGUAGCGGUGAAAUGCGUAGAUAUCAGGAGGAACACCGGUGGUGUAAACGGCUUUCUGGACCGUAACUGACGCUGAGGCACGAAAGCGUGGGUAGCAAACAGGAUUAGAUACCCUAGUAGUCC